AUUGAACGCUGGCGGUAUGCUUAACACAUGCAAGUCGAACGAGUGGCGGACGGGUGAGUAAUGCAUAGGAAUCUACCUUUUAGUCUAGGAUAACUACCCGAAAGGGUGGAUAAUACUGGAUGAUAAGAGAUGAGCAUAUGUGGGAUUAGCUAGUGGGUGGGGUAAUGGCUCACCAAGGCGACGACCUCUAGCUGGUUUGAGAGGAUGAUCAGCCACACUGGAACUGAUACACGGCCCAGACUCCUACGGGAGGCAGCAGUGGGGAAUAUUGGACAAGUGGCGAAAGCCUGAUCCAGCCAUGCCGCGUGUAUGAAGAAGGCCUUAGGGUUGUAAAGUACUUUCAGCGGGGAGGCGUUACCCGCAGAAGAAGCACCGGCUAACUCCGUGCCAGCAGCCGCGGUAAUAC
RNAcentral lists this ribosomal RNA (406 nucleotides) under uncultured bacterium. Its description in RNAcentral is "partial 16S ribosomal RNA". It matches the Rfam family "Bacterial small subunit ribosomal RNA", at positions 30 to 526 of the family's 1533-position model. The record is from RNAcentral.